UUGUUGUAGCCUAGCCAGUCAGGCAGUCUGUCCCUCCUCCUGCCGUGACAGAGAAGAUCCCAACACAAAGAUUUAAUCCAUGAAGAUUGACUAAUCUCUUCAAAUCUACAGGCCGUAUCUUGGGUUGAUCUAUCUUCUCAUCUUCCCAGUUUGGAUCCUUCUUCUUUCUUGGGUAAACAGAUGAUUCUAGAGGUUCGGCCCUAAGAGCCAAGGCAUUCAUGACCAACAGGAACUCCCCACGAUAUUGAAGACAACUGACUGUCUGCUGCAACCCAGCUGUGAAAUCAGGUAAGGCUAAAAUGACAGAAGUAAUUGCUUUUGAUAACUGUAAUCUAAGUCCAUAUCCCUCAUUUUAUUAGGAGUGUCUACAAUGUUGUUUGACAUUUCUUUCUUCUUCUUUUUCUCUGUCCAUUUCCACCCCUGCUGGCAUUCUUCACUCAUGCAGAUGUAACAGAAAACAAGAAACCAGAUUUUGCUUAACACAGGCAACUAAUGAAUCACAUUUUGGGGUAAAAACCUAGGUGUGUUCAGAUUUAUAUUAAUCUGUGGAUGAUUUUUCUUCUAUGAUGUCAGAUCACUCUGCGUACAUGACUUCAGUGAUCAGGUCCCUAUAUUGAUUAAGGAUCAGUUAAUCAGUGCGCAUGUAAACACUGCAUGUAAGUAUCAGCAGAUGCCAAAAAUAAAAAACCCUCACAUGAUGGUGAACAACUAUUUCGUCUUUCUAGUGUGUGGACAGCAAAGGUAUGACAAAGACAGUUUAAUUCGCCAAAAAAUCUGAGUCCACACUUCUAUAACUGAAAAUCUCUCAAAAUCUCCCUGGGUUGGAAGCAACUUCAAGGUAAACAACCGUGGCAAGUGACAAGAUGGUCAAAGAGAUAAAUGCAUACAAGUAAUCGUGUCAUUUCAUAAUCUGCAGAGAAGGAAUUAUCUUGUUGAAGUUUCGUCUCAUCACCUCUAAAGUCUGAGGUAUUUACAGCCGUUCUGGAUGAUCACAUUUAAACAGAAAGAUCAGACUUUGCCUCUUCCUACCAAAAUCUACAAGACCGACAUGUUGAUCUGUAAAAGUGGUCAAACUUUGUGGAAAGUCAGUUUUUAAAGAUCAUAAAACUCAUCUGCCACACUUUAUAAUCUGCUGGUUCCUUUUUGUAAGACAUAAAACAAAUUAUUUAUACGAAUAAUAUGUAUUUUAAACCCUUCAGAAUAAUCUACUUUUGGAGAGGCAGGUCUAAGAAAGCAGAACGUUUUUUUCAUCCUUUUCAGAAUAAAGACCAAAUCCACUUAAAACCCACUGCCUGUAAAUCCUGAUACCUAUGUCUGAAUGCAAAAUCUGUGUGUCAGACUUGUUGGACAGUCUGAGAGCCCAAUAAGGGUGAAGCAGAUUAACACCAGAUAUGUUUAUGGGCUCAUGAUUUGAAAAAGUAACUCAUACAUUGAUGCUUGAAAAGGGUACAAAUAAGUUCAUAUCAUUUGCCUGAUCCCAGCUCUAAACCACUUGAAUAGACACAUUUGUUUAAAUGUCUGGAAAAGGUCGAUUUGAGCUGAUGGCUCAGUUUGACAGGAGCUUUGUCCACCUUCUUUUUUUCUGUCUGUGUCGUUAACUUUGUAUCUUCAUGUCCCAUUAAAGUCACCAACACAGUCUUUUCUGUUCUCCAUCAUGCCGUAGGUUCCCCUGGAUUGUGGCUGCAGACGUCCUGCUGUUGUGGACCUGUCUGCUUUCCAGCUGCUCCAACUACAAGCAUUAGUCUCUUCUCUAUUCGUCUCUCUCUUUCUCCAUCUCUCCCCUCUCUUAAUCCAGC
RNAcentral lists this long non-coding RNA (1796 nucleotides) under Xyrichtys novacula (pearly razorfish). The record is from RNAcentral. Lineage: Eukaryota; Metazoa; Chordata; Actinopteri; Labriformes; Labridae.